UAAAUUGACGGUACCUGAUGAAUAAGCUCCGGCUAACUACGUGCCAGCAGCCGCGGUAAUACGUAGGGAGCGAGCGUUAUCCGGAAUUAUUGGGCGUAAAGGGUGCGUAGAUGGCAGAUAAAGUCUAUUGUAAAAGUGCUAGGCUCAACCUAGUGAGGCAAUAGAAACUAAUAAGCUAGAGUACAGAAGAGGCAAGUGGAAUUCCAUGUGUAGCGGUAAAAUGCGUAAAUAUAUGGAGGAACACCAGUGGCGAAGGCGGCUUGCUGGUCUGAUACUGACAUUGAGGCACGAAAGCGUGGGGAGCAAACAGGAUUAGAUACCCUGGUAGUCCACGCCCUAAACGAUGAGUACUAAGUGUAGCCGUAAGGCUGUGCUGAAGUUAACGCAUUAAGUACUCCGCCUGAGUAGUACGUACGCAAGUAUGAAACUUAAAGGAAUUGACGGGAGCCCGCACAAGCGGUGGAGCAUGUUGUUUAAUUCGACGAUACGCGAAGAACCUUACCAGGUCUUGACAUCUGAUGCAAAGUUAUAGAGAUAUAAUGGAGGUUAGCAUCAAGACAGGUGGUGCAUGGUUGUCGUCAGCUCGUGUCGUGAGAUGUUGGGUUAAGUCCCGCAACGAGCGCAACCCUUAUUUCUAGUUACCAUCAUUAAGUUGGGGACUCUAGAGAGACUGCCAUUGAUAAAAUGGAGGAAGGUGGGGAUGACGUCAAAUCAUCAUGCCCUAUAUGACCUGGGCUACAAACGUGCUACAAUGGCUGGAACAAAGAGAAGCAAAACCGCGAGGUAGAGCGAACCUCAAAAAAACAGUCUCAGUUCGGAUUGAAGUCUGCAACUCGACUUCAUGAAGUUGGAAUCGCUAGUAAUCGCGAAUCAGAAUGUCGCGGUGAAUACGUUCCCGGGCUUUGCACUCAACGCCCGUCAA
Molecule: ribosomal RNA, 922 nt
Filed under: uncultured bacterium
Lineage: Bacteria
Description: bacterial SSU rRNA
Rfam family: Bacterial small subunit ribosomal RNA
Source: RNAcentral